Long non-coding RNA from Bos taurus (domestic cattle), 626 nucleotides. The record is from Ensembl. Lineage: Eukaryota; Metazoa; Chordata; Mammalia; Artiodactyla; Bovidae.
CCCCACUGCAGUUUCUUUGUUUCUUGUUCUCCCUGCCUAAAACAACUAAAAAAAAUGUCUCCAGGUCCUUCCCUGGUGGUGCAGUGGUUGAGAAUUCACCUUCCAAUGCAGCAGUGGAGGUUCUGAUCCCUGGUCGGGGAACGGCGAUCCCACGUGCCGCAGAGCUACUGAGCAGGCAGGCUUCAACUGCUGACCCCACGCCACGACUGGAGAGUCCGUGCACGACAACGAAAGAUCCCACAUGACACAGCUCAGACCUGAUACACUCAAGGCUGCUGGGGUGAGCAGUACACCCCCAGCACGACCCCAGGCACAGCGUUUGCCUCAGAGUACAUCGUGAGAAACGCUGGGCUAGAAGAAGCACAAGCUGGAAUCAAGAUUGCUGGGAGAAAUAUCGAUAACCUCAGAUAUGCAGAUGACACCACCCUUAUGGCAGAAAGUGAAGAAGAACUAAAAAGCCUUGAUGAAAGUGAAAGAGGAGAGUGAAAAGGUUGGCUUAAAGCUCAACAUUCAGAAAACUAAGAUCAUAACCCUGUAUGCGAGACAGCAAAAGAGACACAGAUGUGUAGAACAGUUUUUUGGACUCUGUGGGAGAGGGAGAGGGUGGGAUGAUUUGGGAGAACGGC